This 253-nucleotide ribosomal RNA is filed under the name uncultured bacterium. RNAcentral's name for it is "partial 16S ribosomal RNA". It matches the Rfam family "Bacterial small subunit ribosomal RNA", at positions 524 to 776 of the family's 1533-position model. The record is from RNAcentral.
UACAGAGGGGGCAAGCGUUGUUCGGAAUUACUGGGCGUAAAGGGCGCGUAGGCGGCCUUCUAAGUCGAACGUGAAAUCCCUGGGCUCAACCCAGGAACUGCGUCCGAUACUGGAAGGCUUGAAUCCGGGAGAGGGAUGCGGAAUUCCAGGUGUAGCGGUGAAAUGCGUAGAUAUCUGGAGGAACACCGGUGGCGAAGGCGGCAUCCUGGACCGGUACUGACGCUGAGGCGCGAAAGCCAGGGGAGCAAACAGG